RNAcentral lists this ribosomal RNA (872 nucleotides) under Salmonella enterica. Its description in RNAcentral is "partial 23S ribosomal RNA". It matches the Rfam family "Bacterial large subunit ribosomal RNA", at positions 2071 to 2925 of the family's 2925-position model. The record is from RNAcentral. Lineage: Bacteria; Pseudomonadati; Pseudomonadota; Gammaproteobacteria; Enterobacterales; Enterobacteriaceae.
CGCGGCAAGACGGAAAGACCCCGUGAACCUUUACUAUAGCUUGACACUGAACACUGGUCCUUGAUGUGUAGGAUAGGUGGGAGGCUUUGAAGCGUGGACGCCAGUCUGCGUGGAGCCGUCCUUGAAAUACCACCCUUUAAUGGCUGGUGUUCUAACGUAGGCCCGUAAUCCGGGUUGCGGACAGUGUCUGGUGGGUAGUUUGACUGGGGCGGUCUCCUCCUAAAGAGUAACGGAGGAGCACGAAGGUUGGCUAAUCCUGGUCGGACAUCAGGAGGUUAGUGCAAUGGCAUAAGCCAGCUUGACUGCGAGCGUGACGGCGCGAGCAGGUGCGAAAGCAGGUCAUAGUGAUCCGGUGGUUCUGAAUGGAAGGGCCAUCGCUCAACGGAUAAAAGGUACUCCGGGGAUAACAGGCUGAUACCGCCCAAGAGUUCAUAUCGACGGCGGUGUUUGGCACCUCGAUGUCGGCUCAUCACAUCCUGGGGCUGAAGUAGGUCCCAAGGGUAUGGCUGUUCGCCAUUUAAAGUGGUACGCGAGCUGGGUUUAGAACGUCGUGAGACAGUUCGGUCCCUAUCUGCCGUGGGCGCUGGAGAACUGAGGGGGGCUGCUCCUAGUACGAGAGGACCGGAGUGGACGCAUCACUGGUGUUCGGGUUGUCAUGCCAAUGGCACUGCCCGGUAGCUAAAUGCGGAAGAGAUAAGUGCUGAAAGCAUCUAAGCACGAAACUUGCCCCGAGAUGAGUUCUCCCUGAGACUUAGAGUCUCCUGAAGGAACGUUGAAGACGACGACGUUGAUAGGCCGGGUGUGUAAGCGCAGCGAUGCGUUGAGCUAACCGGUACUAAUGAACCGUGAGGCUUAACCUUACAACGCCGAAG